This 412-nucleotide ribosomal RNA is filed under the name uncultured eukaryote. Its description in RNAcentral is "SSU rRNA". It matches the Rfam family "Eukaryotic small subunit ribosomal RNA", at positions 567 to 990 of the family's 1831-position model. The record is from RNAcentral.
CCAGCAGCUGCGGUAAUUCCGGCUCUAAUAGCGUAUAUUAAAGUUGUUGCAGUUAAAAAGCUCGUAGUCGGAUGUCGGGCUCGGGCAGGCUGUCGGCUUCGGUCGGACGGCAGGCUCGGGUCUUUCUGCCUGAGGAACCCGUGGCACUUAACUGUGCGGCGUGGGGACGCAGGCCGUUUACUUUGAAAAAAUUAGAGUGUUCAAAGCAGGCCUACGCUUGAAUACAUUAGCAUGGAAUAAUGGAAUAGGACUCGCGUCUUAUUUUGUUGGUUUGGAGAUGUGAGUAAUGAUGAAUAGGGACAGUUGGGGGCAUUGGUAUUCAGUAGUCAGAGGUGAAAUUCUUGGAUUUACUGAAGACUAACUAGUGCGAAAGCAUUUGCCAAGGAUGUUUUCAUUGAUCAAGAACGAAAGU